Molecule: ribosomal RNA, 888 nt
Filed under: Stutzerimonas stutzeri
Lineage: Bacteria; Pseudomonadati; Pseudomonadota; Gammaproteobacteria; Pseudomonadales; Pseudomonadaceae
Description: bacterial SSU rRNA
Rfam family: Bacterial small subunit ribosomal RNA
Source: RNAcentral
GCNNNNGNCAGGCCUACACAUGCAGUCGAGCGGAUGAAGAGAGCUUGCUCUCUGAUUCAGCGGCGGACGGGUGAGUAAUGCCUAGGAAUCUGCCUGAUAGUGGGGGACAACGUUUCGAAAGGAACGCUAAUACCGCAUACGUCCUACGGGAGAAAGCAGGGGACCUUCGGGCCUUGCGCUAUCAGAUGAGCCUAGGUCGGAUUAGCUAGUUGGUGAGGUAACGGCUCACCAAGGCGACGAUCCGUAACUGGUCUGAGAGGAUGAUCAGUCACACUGGAACUGAGACACGGUCCAGACUCCUACGGGAGGCAGCAGUGGGGAAUAUUGGACAAUGGGCGAAAGCCUGAUCCAGCCAUGCCGCGUGUGUGAAGAAGGUCUUCGGAUUGUAAAGCACUUUAAGUUGGGAGGAAGGGCAUUAACCUAAUACGUUAGUGUUUUGACGUUACCGACAGAAUAAGCACCGGCUAACUUCGUGCCAGCAGCCGCGGUAAUACGAAGGGUGCAAGCGUUAAUCGGAAUUACUGGGCGUAAAGCGCGCGUAGGUGGUUUGUUAAGUUGAAUGUGAAAGCCCCGGGCUCAACCUGGGAACUGCAUCCAAAACUGGCAAGCUAGAGUAUGGCAGAGGGUGGUGGAAUUUCCUGUGUAGCGGUGAAAUGCGUACAUAUAGGAAGGAACACCAGUGGCGAAGGCGACCACCUGGGCUAAUACUGACACUGAGGUGCGAAAGCGUGGGGAGCAAACAAGAUUAUAUACCCUGGUAGUCCACACCGUAAACGAUGUCUACUAGCCGUUGGGAUCCUUGAGAUCUUAGUGGCGCAUCUAACGCAUUAAGUCGACCGGCUGGGGAGUACGGCCGCAAGGUUAAAACUCAAAGGAAAUUGACCGAAA